RNAcentral lists this ribosomal RNA (497 nucleotides) under uncultured bacterium. RNAcentral's name for it is "partial 16S ribosomal RNA". It matches the Rfam family "Bacterial small subunit ribosomal RNA", at positions 28 to 507 of the family's 1533-position model. The record is from RNAcentral.
GAUGAACGCUGGCGGCGUGCCUAAUACAUGCAAGUCGAGCGAACAGACGAGGAGCUUGCUCCUCUGACGUUAGCGGCGGACGGGUGAGUAACACGUGGAUAACCUACCUAUAAGACUGGGAUAACUUCGGGAAACCGGAGCUAAUACCGGAUAAUAUAUUGAACCGCAUGGUUCAAUAGUGAAAGACGGUUUUGCUGUCACUUAUAGAUGGAUCCGCGCCGCAUUAGCUAGUUGGUAAGGUAACGGCUUACCAAGGCAACGAUGCGUAGCCGACCUGAGAGGGUGAUCGGCCACACUGGAACUGAGACGCGGUCCAGACUCCUACGGGAGGCAGCAGUAGGGAAUCUUCCGCAAUGGGCGAAAGCCUGACGGAGCAGCGCCGCGUGAGUGAUGAAGGUCUUCGGAUCGUAAAACUCUGUUAUUAGGGAAGAACAAAUGUGUAAGUAACUAUGCACGUCUUGACGGUACCUAAACAGAAAGCCACGGCUAACUACGUG